AUGAAUAUUGCGGGAGAGACUAAACUCGCCGUUUAGCACCGAAGGAGCAAAUCCUGACCGCUCAGGACAAAUCUCUCAGGUAAAAGGACAGAGAAAAGUAG
This 101-nucleotide non-coding RNA is filed under the name Brevibacillus sp. RNAcentral describes it as "Glycine sequence". It matches the Rfam family "Glycine riboswitch aptamer". Rfam says of the family: This family represents the bacterial glycine riboswitch. Glycine riboswitches usually consist of two metabolite-binding aptamers domains with similar structures in tandem. Lineage: Bacteria; Bacillati; Bacillota; Bacilli; Caryophanales; Paenibacillaceae. The record is from RNAcentral.